RNAcentral lists this ribosomal RNA (229 nucleotides) under uncultured bacterium. RNAcentral's name for it is "partial 16S ribosomal RNA". It matches the Rfam family "Bacterial small subunit ribosomal RNA", at positions 524 to 753 of the family's 1533-position model. The record is from RNAcentral.
GACAGAGGGUGCAAACGUUGUUCGGAAUUACUGGGCGUAAAGCGCGUGUAGGCGGCUAAGUAAGUCGGGCGUGAAAUCCCACGGCUCAACCGUGGAAGUGCACUCGAAACUGCAUAGCUAGAGUCCUGGAGAGGAAGGUGGAAUGCUUGGUGUAGAGGUGAAAUUCGUAGAUAUCAAGCGGAACACCGGUGGCGAAGGCGGCCUCUGGACAGUGACUGACGCUGAGACG